CUACGGGAGGCAGCAGUGGGGAAUAUUGGGCAGUGGAGGAAACUCUGACCCAGCGACGCCGCGUGAGGGAUGAAGGCCUUCGGGUUGUAAACCUCUUUCAGUAGGGAAGAAGCGAAAGUGACGGUACCUACAGAAGAAGCACCGGCUAACUAUGUGCCAGCAGCCGCGGUAAUACAUAGGGUGCAAGCGUUGUCCGGAAUUAUUGGGCGUAAAGAGCUCGUAGGUGGUUAGAUACGUCGGAUGUGAAAAUCAGGGGCUCAACCCCUGACCUGCAUUCGAUACGGUCUAGCUAGAGUGUGGUAGGGGAGACUGGAAUUCCUGGUGUAGCGGUGGAAUGCGCAGAUAUCAGGAGGAACACCGAUGGCGAAGGCAGGUCUCUGGGCCAUUACUGACACUGAGGAGCGAAAGCGUGGGGAGCGAACAGGAUUAGAUACCCGCGUAGUC
RNAcentral lists this ribosomal RNA (444 nucleotides) under uncultured bacterium. Its description in RNAcentral is "partial 16S ribosomal RNA". It matches the Rfam family "Bacterial small subunit ribosomal RNA", at positions 339 to 795 of the family's 1533-position model. The record is from RNAcentral.